GGCCUUCUGUACCUGUGCUGAGAUUUCGCCACACACCAGACCACAAGGGCUGGUGAGACUUACAUGAUAAGUGAAGCG
Molecule: non-coding RNA, 78 nt
Organism: Schistosoma curassoni
Lineage: Eukaryota; Metazoa; Platyhelminthes; Trematoda; Strigeidida; Schistosomatidae
Source: Rfam